GCACUAGCAAAAUCUAGUGUCAGAAUUGGCGUUCUGAAUCAGUUACUGGCGACACAUGACGCGCCUUGCGUCUUUUUU
RNAcentral lists this small RNA (78 nucleotides) under Proteus mirabilis. RNAcentral describes it as "isrK Hfq binding RNA". It matches the Rfam family "isrK Hfq binding RNA". The record is from RNAcentral. Lineage: Bacteria; Pseudomonadati; Pseudomonadota; Gammaproteobacteria; Enterobacterales; Morganellaceae.